UGGGGAAUAUUGCACAAUGGGCGCAAGCCUGAUGCAGCCAUGCCGCGUGUAUGGAGAAGGCCUUCGGGUUGUAAAGUACUUUCAGCGGGGAGGAAGGUGUUGAGGUUAAUAACCUCAGCAAUUGACGUUACCCGCAGAAGAAGCACCGGCUAACUCCGUGCCAGCAGCCGCGGUAAUACGGAGGGUGCAAGCGUUAAUCGGAAUUACUGGGCGUAAAGCGCACGCAGGCGGUCUGUCAAGUCGGAUGUGAAAUCCCCGGGCUCAACCUGGGAACUGCAUUCGAAACUGGCAGGCUAGAGUCUUGUAGAGGGGGGUAGAAUUCCAGGUGUAGCGGUGAAAUGCGUAGAGAUCUGGAGGAAUACCGGUGGCGAAGGCGGCCCCCUGGACAAAGACUGACGCUCAGGUGCGAAAGCGUGGGGAGCAAACA
Molecule: ribosomal RNA, 427 nt
Filed under: uncultured bacterium
Lineage: Bacteria
Description: partial 16S ribosomal RNA
Rfam family: Bacterial small subunit ribosomal RNA
Source: RNAcentral